Molecule: long non-coding RNA, 964 nt
Organism: Musa acuminata AAA Group (dessert banana)
Lineage: Eukaryota; Viridiplantae; Streptophyta; Magnoliopsida; Zingiberales; Musaceae
Exons: 2
Source: RefSeq, a predicted model, not a curated record
UUCUCGACUUGGGUCGUUGCGUUCGUCGUCUGCUCCGGCGUUCGGGGUUUCCUUGUUCCCUCCCUUCAUCGGCCAAGAAGACAGCGAUCGAGGCUGUGGCUCAAGAAAUUCGCUGAUCUUUCCUUCAUCCGAGAACAUGGCGCGGGAUUCAGAUAAAACUCUGUACCUUCUGUAACGAUUUUCCUUCUUUUUGCGCUUGAAAUCCUAUUCGUAGUAGUUCGACAUUGUUCUCUGAUAUUUCUGGACGGAUCUUGUUGUGAUACACGAUGAUUUGUAGAUGUGGCGAUUGUUCAACAUCUUGUACGAUUACUGAUCUUUUUUUAUUAUUAUUAUUGAGGUUUCAGAUCACCAAUUGUAGCGUACUCUGCGAGAUCAUUGAGGUCCAUUACGUUAAAUUUUGCUUAGUGUCUAUUCUUUUAGGUUUUGCGGAUUGUUCUGGCCAUCUGUUAAGGAAUUUUCUUGUGGUUUGUAGUUGUAUGGAUAGUUUGGUAUUGGUGGGAAAGUCUGUUUUUAGUUCUAUGAUUGGUAUUGAGGGUUGUCUUUGUGUUGAGUUGAUUGCAUCUCAUAUGUAUGUGUAGGACCAGAGCUUUUUCUUUACCAUGGGUGCUCCAUUUUGUGUCCUUGUUUUGGCAUAUGGGAAUCUGCUGCAUCCUUCUUGCUUUUGGAGUUCUGUUUGAAAUAUGCAGUCCUGAUCAUUCUGAUGGCUAUCAAAUUGUGUUCUCUUUCUUCUUCAGUUAGUAAGUCAAAGAAAUCACAGGUACGCUGUUCGCUAACUUGGUCUUUAUAAAGGGAAUGGUGUGAUUCCUACACCUGUUUUUGAUUUGGUUUAAUUGCAGUCAUUUCAAGACUGUUGUCAGAUGCUGUCCAUUGAUGAAAUUUGUCCUGUUAUAUUACUUAUUCUACUGAGGCAUAGCAUUCCAAUGUACAAUUCGGCAAAGUCUUAUUUUUCGCUCAAAAUUUAUUA